UCGACUAAGGUUCGAUUCGAGCGAAAGCGAGAAAGCGUUGCCAACGGCAACGACCCGAAGGGCGAAGCGCGCAGCGCUGAGUAAUCCUUCCCCCGUCAUCC
Molecule: small RNA, 101 nt
Filed under: Salmonella enterica
Lineage: Bacteria; Pseudomonadati; Pseudomonadota; Gammaproteobacteria; Enterobacterales; Enterobacteriaceae
Also listed under: 1 other name
Description: partial RtT sRNA
Rfam family: RtT RNA
About the family: This family represents a bacterial cis-regulatory element known as RtT RNA. The exact function of RtT is unknown although it is thought that it may be involved in changing the cellular response in relation to amino acid starvation.
Source: RNAcentral